UACGGAGGGUGCGAGCGUUAAUCGGAAUUACUGGGCGUAAAGGGUGCGUAGGUUGUUUAAUAAGUUAUCUGUGAAAGCCCUGGGCUCAACCUGGGAAGGCCAGAUAAGACUGUUGGACUCGAGUAUGGGAGAGGGUAGUGGAAUUUCCGGUGUAGCGGUGAAAUGCGUAGAGAUCGGAAGGAACACCAGUGGCGAAGGCGGCUACCUGGCCUGAUACUGACACUGAGGCACGAAAGCCAGGGGAGCAAACAGG
Molecule: ribosomal RNA, 253 nt
Filed under: uncultured bacterium
Lineage: Bacteria
Description: partial 16S ribosomal RNA
Rfam family: Bacterial small subunit ribosomal RNA
Source: RNAcentral